GUAACAUAUGGCAUCCUGGAGCUGCGAUGUAAACUUUGAUCUAUUGGAUCAAAGUGAGAAUUGAGCUGGUUGGACGUCAUCCCCGAGUGACUUUGGACGCGUGAGAAUGAAUUCCGAUGAUAAGUAAGUGUUUCGGCGCAAAGUGGGCGCGAAACGAAAUGUAAAUAGAAUUUUCGGAAUUCUGACGCUAACCUUGAUUAAAAGAAUUAAANGUGUUUGUUGCUUGCCUUCGUGCAAGCCAUGUAUAUUGAAAUGUGAUCCUGGGAAUUAUUUAUUUCUUUAUACAUGUACUCGUUGUUGUUGAGCCUUGGGCGAACAGGGGAGGUGCUGUUCGUUCGGCGUCUGUGCGCGGGCCCAGAUCGACCAAAUUGGCGACCGCGGGACGUGACAUAG
Molecule: long non-coding RNA, 393 nt
Filed under: Ananas comosus (pineapple)
Lineage: Eukaryota; Viridiplantae; Streptophyta; Magnoliopsida; Poales; Bromeliaceae
Description: long non-coding RNA (ACOM_LNC029356)
Source: RNAcentral